Molecule: ribosomal RNA, 497 nt
Filed under: uncultured bacterium
Lineage: Bacteria
Description: partial 16S ribosomal RNA
Rfam family: Bacterial small subunit ribosomal RNA
Source: RNAcentral
GAUGAACGCUGGCGGCGUGCCUAAUACAUGCAAGUCGAGCGAACGGACGAGAAGCUUGCUUCUCUGAUGUUAGCGGCGGACGGGUGAGUAACACGUGGAUACCCUACCUAUAAGACUGGGAUAACUUCGGGAAACCGGAGCUAAUACCGUAUAAUAUUUUGAACCGCAUGGUUCAAAAGUGAAAUACGGCCUUGCUGUCACUUAUAGAUGGAUCCGGGCUGCAUUAGCUAGUUGGUAAGGUAACGGCUUACCAAGGCAACGAUGCAUAGCCGACCUGAGAGGGUGAUCGGCCACACGGGAACUGAGACGCGGUCCAGACUCCUAAGGGAGGCAGCAGUAGGGAAUCGUCCGCAAUGGGCGAAAGCCUGACGGAGCAACGCCGCGUGAGUGAUGAAGGUCUUCGGAUCGUAAAACUCUGUUAUUAGGGAAGAACAUAUGUGUAAGUAACUGUGCACAUCUUGACGGUACCUAAUCAGAAAGCCACGGCUAACUACGUG